AAUCAACGCUGGCGGCGUGCCUCAGACAUGCAAGUCGAACGCGAAAGGUUCCUUCGGGAACCGAGUAGAGUGGCGCACGGGUGAGUAACACGUAGGUAAUUUGCCUUUGGGUGGGGAAUAACAGCCGGAAACGGCUGCUAAUACCGCAUAAUGCAGCGGCUCGACAUCGAGACAGUUGUUAAAGCGGGGAUCGCAAGACCUCGCGCCUAAAGAGAAGCCUGCGGCAGAUUAGCUAGUUGGUAGGUAAUGGCCUACCAAGGCGACGACGGGUAGCCGGCCUGAGAGGGCGACCGGCCACACUGGGACUGAGACACGGCCAGACUCCUACGGGAGGCAGCAGUGGGGAAUCUUGCGCAAUGGGCGAAAGCCUGACGCAGCGACGCCGCGUGAGGGAUGACGG
Molecule: ribosomal RNA, 400 nt
Filed under: uncultured bacterium
Lineage: Bacteria
Description: bacterial SSU rRNA
Rfam family: Bacterial small subunit ribosomal RNA
Source: RNAcentral